GAAAUUUCGAGUAAUGUGAUAGGUGAUAUAUAACCCUAGCUUAUCUCACAAAAAACACCGUAAUUCAACUCAAAAAGCUAAUACCUACGUCUACAGAGGCUACUGACUUGUACAUAAGAAACAUAAAAAUUUGCUAAAUAGUCCUACCAAUUAUAAAAUUUUCUAAACAACCACAAGAACAUAUACAAUUAUUGUUAGAGAUCCAGAGAGCCAAAAUACUUGGAAAGAAUCCUUCUUGAUUGGCCUUGUCAAUGAACGACACUCAUGGGUUUAAUACUGCACCCAACCCAAAACCUAGAGGUAAUGGGUCUACAUAUUUCCCACUUAUAUGUGAUUCUCAUCCCUUCUCUUUUCAAUGAUGUAAACCAGAACUUAACUCACACUUGCAUAUUUCUUAAUACAUCUCCUCCUCAAGCAGGAGUCUCUUCAUUAGGCUUUACUGGGUUUGUCCCCUCAAACAGAAGCUUUGUUAACUCAAAGUAUUUACAACAUCACCAAGACCCAAUUAUUCCACUAAGCCCAUCAUGAACCAUCCACGCUACUAUCAUUCGUGUGAGCAUGCAACUCUAAGUGCAAAACGAGCCAUUACAAAUACCGAAAGUCUCUACUCCAAUGGUCUGCUCUUCUCCAAGAGAAUAUUUUAGUACUCCAUUAGACUUCUUUUAACAAGAGUAACCACCCUAUCGGCCUAUUGGGAGUCUUCUUACUCUUCUAUCACCGUGUGGGAAGACCACGAAAAUGACAAAACACCGUCUCUAUACUUGUCCUUGCUAGCCAUUGGCUACUAAGAGUCUCAUUACUCUUCCAUCACGAUGUAGGAAGAUCACGGGAAUUACAGACCAUCAUCUCUAUACUCAUUCUUACUGAUCCAUCAACUCUAAUACUAGUUUGUUAGAGAUCGGAGGAGUCCAAAACGACUUGGGAGAAUGCUUUGUGAAAGAAUAGUACUCAUGGCCUUGAUACUAUAUCCAACUCAAAACCUUUAGUAAUGGUCCUUCCCAUUUAUAAGUCCUUUAGUCAUUCCAUCUCUUUUCAAUUUGAGAAUUCUAACUCAAUUUACACUUGCAUAUUUCCUAACAAUUACUUAUUGAAUUUCCUGUUAACAAAAUAAGAAUCAUAGUUAAGAAGAGGCACUUCUCUCCAAGACGGGCUUGGGUUGCGGUUAAGACUUAGUCUAUGCUCAUGAGGAGGAAUAUAAACUACAUCAUAAGGCCAACGCUUAAUGUACAGUCCAUAUUUUUUACUCUACAGUGUUCAUGUGCAAACAUCAAUCCUUAAAAUCCAAUCUUUUUUUUUUUUCACCUUCUUUUAGGGUUCUUCUUAAACUUCAUUAAAUGCCAGCACUACCAUUAGUUCAUAAAACUUUUUCCAGAUGUCAAUCAAUCUGAUGCUUUUCUGUUGGUACAUUGCCAUCAUUGACCUCGACACUUUUCUCCCUUGCUCUCACUGAUACUCAUAUUACUUCAGUUACCCUUGAACCUAGGUUCUGCAAUAAUACUCUCAAAUAUAUGGCGUCUAAAUUAGUUAUAGCAUGCUUUUCUUUUUGUAUGAUUUUCUAAAUGUAGAUCCUCCAUGACUAGGAUAGGCUAUAUUCCCCUCAAGCAAUAGGAACAACUUGAGUAAAUCUUACCUUUUCACUACCAUUUUUGAGUCCAUUGAGCUUUUAUCACUGCCUUCCUAAAUUUUUAUAAGCAAUAAUAUUAAAGAAAAAACUGUCCUCAUCCAUGCAUUGGACUUCUCACUAAAUAUGGUGGGACCAUUACAAUGCAUUAGACAUGCUGAUCAUUCUCUUGUCAACAAUCCUUAGAGACCUUUGGCCACUAGCACUGGUGCAACUCACAACUUUGCAAAGUUCUGCUACUAGUCUGUGUGAUGCUAUAUUUUCACUAGGUACACAUACAUGUCACUCCUGUAAAUCCUGGCAUUGCAUGGAACAAGAGCAGAAGGUACUCGGGCCAUAAGCCUCAAAUAAAUUUUAUUGCUUGAACAAAUAUCUUCUGCUGAGGACAACAAGAAAGGCCAGCCAUGGUUGGCUUAUUGAUUACUAAAACAAUUUAAUUCAUUGGUCUAGUCAGACCUAAAUUAACCAUCCCUACAAGGUGGGUUCACAAAUAUCAUCAAACAAUUUGCCCUGCAAAAGCAAUAGUUUAACAAAAUCAGAACUUACACUCAACCCCGCCAAUGGAGUUAU
RNAcentral lists this unclassified non-coding RNA (2191 nucleotides) under Hevea brasiliensis (rubber tree). Lineage: Eukaryota; Viridiplantae; Streptophyta; Magnoliopsida; Malpighiales; Euphorbiaceae. The record is from RNAcentral.